This 66-nucleotide microRNA precursor is filed under the name Dendroctonus ponderosae (mountain pine beetle). RNAcentral describes it as "mir-2 microRNA precursor family". It matches the Rfam family "mir-2 microRNA precursor family". Rfam says of the family: The miRNAs are transcribed as ~70nt precursors (modelled here) and subsequently processed by the Dicer enzyme to give a ~22nt product. In this case the mature sequence comes from the 3' arm of the precursor. Lineage: Eukaryota; Metazoa; Arthropoda; Insecta; Coleoptera; Curculionidae. The record is from Rfam by way of RNAcentral.
UCGCUCAUCAAUUGGAUGUGAAAUGUUGAUUUGAUACCAUAUCACAGCCAGCUUUGAUGAGCGGUG